AGUUGAUCAGUGGCUCAGGACGAACGCUGGCGGCGUGCCUAACACAUGCAAGUCGAGCGGAGUUAACAAGAGGAAGUUUCGGAUGGAAUUUGUAAUUAGCGGCGGACGGGUGAGUAACGCGUGAGCGACCAACCUUGCACAGGGGGAUAACGGACCGAAAGGUUCACUAAUACCGCAUGAGACCACGGUGUUGCAUGACACAGAGGUCAAAGGAGCAAUCCGGUGCAAGACGGGCUUGCGUCCGAUUAGGUAGUUGGUGGGGUAAUGGCCCCACCAAGCCUAUGAUCGGUAGCCGACCUGAGAGGGUGAUCGGCCACAUUGGAACUGAGAUACGGUCCAAACUCCUACGAGAGGCAGCAGUGGGGAAUAUUGGGCAAUGGGGGGAAAAACCCCUGACCCAGCAACGCCGCGUGAAGGAAGAAGGUUUUCGGAUUGUAAACUUCUGUCCUUGGUGAAGAGAAGAAGACGGUAGCCAAGGAGGAAGCCCCGGCUAACUACGUGCCAGCCGCAGC
Molecule: ribosomal RNA, 512 nt
Filed under: uncultured bacterium
Lineage: Bacteria
Description: bacterial SSU rRNA
Rfam family: Bacterial small subunit ribosomal RNA
Source: RNAcentral